GACGGGGGGGGCAAGUGUUCUUCGGAAUGACUGGGCGUAAAGGGCACGUAGGCGGUGAAUCGGGUUGAAAGUGAAAGUCGCCAAAAACUGGCGGAAUGCUCUCGAAACCAGUGAACUUGGGUGAGACAGAGGAGAGUGGAAUUUCGUGUGUAGGGGUGAAAUCCGGAGAUAUACGAAGGAACACCAAAAGCGAAGGCAGCUCUCUGGGCCCAUACCGACGCUGAGGUACGAAAGCGUGGGGAGCAAACAGG
This 251-nucleotide ribosomal RNA is filed under the name uncultured bacterium. RNAcentral's name for it is "partial 16S ribosomal RNA". It matches the Rfam family "Bacterial small subunit ribosomal RNA", at positions 524 to 776 of the family's 1533-position model. The record is from RNAcentral.